RNAcentral lists this ribosomal RNA (757 nucleotides) under uncultured bacterium. RNAcentral describes it as "bacterial SSU rRNA". It matches the Rfam family "Bacterial small subunit ribosomal RNA", at positions 336 to 1095 of the family's 1533-position model. The record is from RNAcentral.
CUCCUACGGGAGGCAGCAGUGGGGAAUCUUGCACAAUGGGCGAAAGCCUGAUGCAGCGACGCCGCGUGGGGGAUGAAGCUUCUCGGAGUGUAAACCCCUUUCGACCGGGACGAAUACCUCGUAAGAGGGGUGACGGUACCGGUAUAAGAAGCCCCGGCUAACUACGUGCCAGCAGCCGCGGUAAUACGUAGGGGGCCAGCGUUGCUCGGAAUUACUGGGUGUAAAGGGUUCGUAGGCGGUGCGGCAAGUUGGGAGUGAAAUCUUUGGGCUCAACCCAGAGGCUGCUUUCAAAACUGCUGUGCUUGAGUGUGGGAGAGGCGCGUGGAAUUGCAGGUGUAGCGGUGAAAUGCGUAGAUAUCUGCAGGAACACCCGUGGCGAAAGCGGCGCGCUGGACCACAACUGACGCUGAGGAACGAAAGCUAGGGGAGCAAACAGGAUUAGAUACCCUGGUAGUCCUAGCCCUAAACGAUCAGGACUUGGGGUGGCUCACGUUCGUGAGUCGUCCCGGAGCUAACGCGUUAAGUCCUGCACCUGGGGAGUACGGUCGCAAGACUGAAACUCAAAGGAAUUGACGGGGGCCCGCACAAGCGGUGGAACAUGUGGUUCAAUUCGACGCUACGCGAGGAACCUUACCUGGGCUCGAAGCGCACUUGACAAUCUGUAGAAAUACGGACUUCCCGCAAGGGACAAGUGUGGAGGCGCUGCAUGGCUGUCGUCAGCUCGUGCCGUGAGGUGUUGGGUUAAGUCCCGCAACGA